Molecule: ribosomal RNA, 609 nt
Filed under: uncultured Providencia sp.
Lineage: Bacteria; Pseudomonadati; Pseudomonadota; Gammaproteobacteria; Enterobacterales; Morganellaceae
Description: bacterial SSU rRNA
Rfam family: Bacterial small subunit ribosomal RNA
Source: RNAcentral
GGUUAAACUCAAAUGAAUUGACGGGGCCCGCACAAGCGGUGGAGCAUGUGGUUUAAUUCGAUGCAACGCGAAGAACCUUACCUACUCUUGACAUCCAGAGAAUUUAGCAGAGAUGCUUUAGUGCCUUCGGGAACUCUGAGACAGGUGCUGCAUGGCUGUCGUCAGCUCGUGUUGUGAAAUGUUGGAUUAAGUCCCGCAACGAGCGCAACCCUUAUCCUUUGUUGCCAGCACAUUAUGGUGGGAACUCAAAGGAGACUGCCGGUGAUAAACCGGAGGAAGGUGGGGAUGACGUCAAGUCAUCAUGGCCCUUACGAGUAGGGCUACACACGUGCUACAAUGGCGUAUACAAAGAGAAGCGACCUCGCGAGAGCAAGCGGAACUCAUAAAGUACGUCGUAGUCCGGAUUGGAGUCUGCAACUCGACUCCAUGAAGUCGGAAUCGCUAGUAAUCGUAGAUCAGAAUGCUACGGUGAAUACGUUCCCGGGCCUUGUACACACCGCCCGUCACACCAUGGGAGUGGGUUGCAAAAGAAGUAGGUAGCUUAACCUUCGGGAGGGCGCUUACCACUUUGUGAUUCAUGACUGGGGUGAAGUCGUAACAAGGUAACCA